GCUCCUGUAGCCCAACUGGUAGAGGCGGCUGUCUCAAAAACAGUCCAUGUGCGAGUUCAAAUCUCGCUAGGAGUACCA
RNAcentral lists this transfer RNA (78 nucleotides) under Leptolyngbya sp. RNAcentral's name for it is "tRNA-Leu". It matches the Rfam family "tRNA". Rfam says of the family: Transfer RNA (tRNA) molecules are approximately 80 nucleotides in length. Their secondary structure includes four short double-helical elements and three loops (D, anti-codon, and T loops). Further hydrogen bonds mediate the characteristic L-shaped molecular structure. tRNAs have two regions of fundamental functional importance: the anti-codon, which is responsible for specific mRNA codon recognition, and the 3' end, to which the tRNAs corresponding amino acid is attached (by aminoacyl-tRNA synthetases). tRNAs cope with the degeneracy of the genetic code in two manners: having more than one tRNA (with a specific anti-codon) for a particular amino acid; and 'wobble' base-pairing, i.e. permitting non-standard base-pairing at the 3rd anti-codon position. Lineage: Bacteria; Bacillati; Cyanobacteriota; Cyanophyceae; Leptolyngbyales; Leptolyngbyaceae. The record is from RNAcentral.